CCCUUAGAUGUUCUGGGCUGCACACGUGCUACACCGGCAGGUUCAGCGAGCUUCAUGCCCUGAUCUGAAAGGAAUGGGAAAUCUUUUCAAAACCUGCCGUGCUUGGGAUAGAUGUUUGCAAUUAUUCAUCUUCAACGAGGAUUGCCUUGUAAGCGCACGUCAUCAGCGUGCAUUGAAUACGACCCUGUAUUCUGUACACACCGCCCGUCGCUCCUACCGAUUGAAGUUUUCGGUGAGUUGACAGGAGGAUUUUUUUGAAACUGGUUCGCCAGUGGAUUUUAGAUCCAAAUGCCAACGAAUCGAUGGCUUUAGAGGAAGGAGAAGUCGUAACA
This 332-nucleotide ribosomal RNA is filed under the name uncultured eukaryote. RNAcentral describes it as "partial 18S ribosomal RNA". It matches the Rfam family "Eukaryotic small subunit ribosomal RNA", at positions 1470 to 1796 of the family's 1831-position model. The record is from RNAcentral.